Peromyscus maniculatus bairdii (prairie deer mouse) is the source of this 321-nucleotide long non-coding RNA. RefSeq lists it as uncharacterized. The record is from RefSeq and is a predicted model, not a curated record. Lineage: Eukaryota; Metazoa; Chordata; Mammalia; Rodentia; Cricetidae.
CUGACCACAGGCCAAGACAGCCUGUAUUCUGGACACUUCCAGACCUUGAACUCCAAAGAUGGACACAGGUGAAGUAACUUGAACAGAGGAGUAGGUGAGACCUCCUGGCAGAAGAUGGGAGCUCUCAAGAAAUGUGAUGGUUUCCACCCUGGUCUUACUCUUCUAUUCUGUGUCCAUCUGAAGGAGAGCUAAUCCCAUCCAUAAGCUCCACAGAGGAGAAAAAAAAUACAAACCAACCAAUCUAAAUCUACCUGAGGCCUGAGGAUGUGGAGCAAGGGAAAUACUCCUCCACUGUUGGUGGGAAUAUAAACUUGCACAACC